GACGAACGCUGGCGGCGUGCUUAACACAUGCAAGUCGAACGGAAAGGCCCUGCUUUUGUGGGGUGCUCGAGUGGCGAACGGGUGAGUAACACGUGAGUAACCUGCCCUUGACUUUGGGAUAACUUCAGGAAACUGGGGCUAAUACCGGAUAGGAGCUCCUGCUGCAUGGUGGGGGUUGGAAAGUUUCGGCGGUUGGGGAUGGACUCGCGGCUUAUCAGCUUGUUGGUGGGGUAGUGGCUUACCAAGGCUUUGACGGGUAGCCGGCCUGAGAGGGUGACCGGCCACAUUGGGACUGAGAUACGGCCCAGACUCCUACGGGAGGCAGCAGUGGGGAAUAUUGCACAAUGGGCGGAAGCCUGAUGCAUCAACGCCGCGUGCGGGAUGACGGCCUUCGGGUUGUAAACCGCUUUCGCCUGUGACGAAGCGUGAGUGACGGUAAUGGGUAAAGAAGCACCGGCUAACUACGUGCCAGCAGCCGCGGUGAUACGUAGGGUGCGAGCGUUGUCCGGAUUUAUUGGGCGUAAAGGGCUCGUAGGUGGUUGAUCGCGUCGGAAGUGUAAUCUUGGGGCUUAACCCUGAGCGUGCUUUCGAUACGGGUUGACUUGAGGAAGGUAGGGGAGAAUGGAAUUCCUGGUGGAGCGGUGGAAUGCGCAGAUAUCAGGAGGAACACCAGUGGCGAAGGCGGUUCUCUGGGCCUUUCCUGACGCUGAGGAGCGAAAGCGUGGGGAGCGAACAGGCUUAGAUACUCUGGUAGUCCACGCUGUAAACGGUGGGUACUAGGUGUGGGGUCCAUUCCACGGGUUCCGUGCCGUAGCUAACGCUUUAAGUACCCCGCCUGGGGAGUACGGCCGCAAGGCUAAAACUCAAAGGAAUUGACGGGGCCCCGCACAAGCGGCGGAGCAUGCGGAUUAAUUCGAUGCAACGCGUAGAACCUUACCUGGGUUUGACAUGGAUCGGGAGUGCUCAGAGAUGGGUGUGCCUCUUUUGGGGUCGGUUCACAGGUGGUGCAUGGCUGUCGUCAGCUCGUGUCGUGAGAUGUUGGGUUAAGUCCCGCAACGAGCGCAACCCUUGUUCACUGUUGCCAGCACGUUAUGGUGGGGACUCAGUGGAGACCGCCGGGGUCAACUCGGAGGAAGGUGGGGAUGACGUCAAGUCAUCAUGCCCCUUAUGUCCAGGGCUUCACGCAUGCUACAAUGGCUGGUACAGAGAGUGGCGAGCCUGUGAGGGUGAGCGAAUCUCGGAAAGCCGGUCUCAGUUCGGAUUGGGGUCUGCAACUCGACCUCAUGAAGUCGGAGUCGCUAGUAAUCGCAGAUCAGCAGCGCUGCGGUGAAUACGUUCCCGGG
RNAcentral lists this ribosomal RNA (1343 nucleotides) under uncultured bacterium. Its description in RNAcentral is "16S ribosomal RNA". It matches the Rfam family "Bacterial small subunit ribosomal RNA", at positions 28 to 1378 of the family's 1533-position model. The record is from RNAcentral.